RNAcentral lists this long non-coding RNA (153 nucleotides) under Polistes fuscatus (common paper wasp). Its description in RNAcentral is "uncharacterized LOC122513976". Lineage: Eukaryota; Metazoa; Arthropoda; Insecta; Hymenoptera; Vespidae. The record is from RNAcentral.
GACGAGUAAUUAAUGAACGAUGAAUUCUCAUCGAUCGACAACGAUGGGCGGACGACCAACGUUCGUAAAGUCUGCAGAAGGAAACGUGCAAACGUACACCGAACGAGGACAUAUAUUUAUAAACACAAAUGCAAAUUUGAAAGGUGGAAGAAA